AUACAGAGGGUGCGAGCGUUAAUCGGAUUUACUGGGCGUAAAGCGUGUGUAGGUGGUUAUCCAAGUCGGUUGUGAAAUCCCUGGGCUCAACCUGGGAACUGCUUCCGAGACUGGAUGACUAGAGUACGGUAGAGGGUGGUGGAAUUUCCGGUGUAGCGGUGAAAUGCGUAGAUAUCGGAAGGAACAUCAAUGGCGAAGGCAGCCGCCUGGGCCUGUACUAACACUGAGACACGAAAGCGUGGGGAUC
RNAcentral lists this ribosomal RNA (247 nucleotides) under uncultured bacterium. Its description in RNAcentral is "partial 16S ribosomal RNA". It matches the Rfam family "Bacterial small subunit ribosomal RNA", at positions 523 to 769 of the family's 1533-position model. The record is from RNAcentral.